GACGAACGCUGGCGGCGUGCUUAACACAUGCAAGUCGAACGGAAAGGCCCUGCUUUUGUGGGGUGCUCGAGUGGCGAACGGGUGAGUAACACGUGAGUAACCUGCCCUUGACUUUGGGAUAACUUCAGGAAACUGGGGCUAAUACCGGAUAGGAGCUCCUGCUGCAUGGUGGGGGUUGGAAGGUUCGGCGGUUGGGGGUGGACUCGCGGCUUAUCAGCUUGUUGGUGGGGUAGUGGCUUACCAAGGCUUUGACGGGUAGCCGGCCUGAGAGGGUGACCGGCCACAUUGGGACUGAGAUACGGCCCAGACUCCUACGGGAGGCAGCAGUGGGGAAUAUUGCACAAUGGGCGGAAGCCUGAUGCAGCAACGCCGCGUGCGGGAUGACGGCCUUCGGGUUGUAAACCGCUUUCGCCUGUGACGAAGCGUGAGUGACGGUAAUGGGUAAAGAAGCACCGGCUAACUACGUG
This 467-nucleotide ribosomal RNA is filed under the name uncultured bacterium. RNAcentral's name for it is "partial 16S ribosomal RNA". It matches the Rfam family "Bacterial small subunit ribosomal RNA", at positions 28 to 507 of the family's 1533-position model. The record is from RNAcentral.